Molecule: long non-coding RNA, 961 nt
Filed under: Bemisia tabaci
Lineage: Eukaryota; Metazoa; Arthropoda; Insecta; Hemiptera; Aleyrodidae
Description: lncRNA ENSASIAIIG012071
Source: RNAcentral
ACUUUUACUAACUUUUACGACUUCUACGCAUAAUAUCUUCGACGCAUGAAGAUACCUUCAAACUUACAGUGCUCGCUUUUAUUAUUAUUAGUAAUUAUUAUUAUUAUAUUCCCAAUCAUGAAAAAAUGAAAGUUAUAGUAUCCCUGUAUAGUUGCCCUGUUUAGUAUAUUACUCAUCACUAUAAUCUUCGGCUUCGAAAGCAAAACAUUCAGAAAAAAGUCGCCCGUAUGAAACGUUUUACAUGGAAGAAAUGAAACCCAUCUGAAGGAAGCAGAUUUUUAAUUGACUUACACUCACCAAAAAUGGAAAUAGAUCUGGUGCACUACUACUUCAGGGAAAAGCUUUACCAUGAAAUGCUGCGAAGUACUGAAUUGAGUCAAGAAAGUGAUCCAUCAGACCUCACUUCCAAUCUGUAUAUUGGAGUUGCACACUUUUAAAUGGGCGAUUAAGUGAAGCUUUAGAACAACUUCAGCCUUUGACAUCAGAACCAAAUAUAGCCCUAGCUGCUCUACUGGCGUCGAUUCAUAUACAUAAACAAUGCAAGAUGCCUGAUAAGGAAGCAAUCUACAAAGCAGAACAAUUACUCAAGGAUGAGAUGAAACUCCCUCAUGAAACUGCAUUACUCAAUGCUGCCGACAUUCUUUUCAUGGUUGGAAAAAUUGAAAAAGCUCGAGACUUCAUUCACAGACUGAUGAAACUGAAUCCAGAAUCAUUACGCGGUUUGGUUUUAAAAGGUUGGAUAGAACUGACUGAAGGCAAUAAGAAGAUUGCUUUAUCUUGCUUUCGAUCCGCUCUUGCCAAGAACCCUUUUUGUAUGGAUGCCGUGUUUGGUGAGGUAAAAAUUAUUCCACCCUGUGAUGGUCUGUCAAAAGUAAAUCAACUAAUAGUCAGGUAUCCUGAGUUGAGUCCCCACUGGUCGAGAAAAUGCGCCUUCAUCUCUCUCUUUUUGACUGGCAGUUAA